CAGCCUUGUUGGUGAGNGUAAUGGCUCACCCAAGGCGACGACNGGGUAGCCNGGCCUGAGAGNGGUGACCGNGCCACACUNGGGACUGAGACACGGCCCAGACUCCUACGGGAGGCAGCAGUGGGGAAUAUUGCACAAUGGGCGAAAGCCUGAUGCAGCAACGCCGCGUGAGGGAUGACGGCCUUCGGGUUGUAAACCUCUUUUAGUAGGGAAGAAGCGAGAGUGACGGUACCUGCAGAAAAAGCACCGGCUAACUACGUGCCAGCAGCCGCGGUAAUACGUAGGGUGCAAGCGUUGUCCGGAAUUAUUGGGCGUAAAGAGCUCGUAGGCGGUUUGUCGCGUCUGCUGUGAAAUCCCGAGGCUCAACCUCGGGCUUGCAGUGGGUACGGGCAGACUAGAGUGCGGUAGGGGAGAUUGGAAUUCCUGGUGUAGCGGUGGAAUGCGCAGAUAUCAGGAGGAACACCGAUGGCGAAGGCAGAUCUCUGGGCCGUAACUGACGCUGAGGAGCGAAAGCAUGGGGAGCGAACAGGAUUAGAUACCCUGGUAGUCCAUGCCGU
This 557-nucleotide ribosomal RNA is filed under the name Microbacteriaceae bacterium. RNAcentral's name for it is "bacterial SSU rRNA". It matches the Rfam family "Bacterial small subunit ribosomal RNA", at positions 242 to 803 of the family's 1533-position model. Lineage: Bacteria; Bacillati; Actinomycetota; Actinomycetes; Micrococcales; Microbacteriaceae. The record is from RNAcentral.